UCUCCGUAGGUGAACCUGCGGAGGGAUCAUUACAGAGUUCAUGCCCUACCGGGUAGAUCUCCCACCCUAUGUUAUUAUUACUUUGUUGCUUUGGCGGGCCGUUAGGCUCCGGCCCGACUACCGGCCCCGGCUGGUAAGCGCCCGCCAGAGGACCCAAAACCCUGAAUAUUAGUGUCGUCUGAGUACUAUAUAAUAGUUAAAACUUUCAACAACGGAUCUCUAGGUUCUGGCUUCGAUGAAGAACGCAGC
Molecule: unclassified non-coding RNA, 249 nt
Filed under: plant metagenome
Description: partial contains small subunit ribosomal RNA, internal transcribed spacer 1, and 5.8S ribosomal RNA
Rfam family: 5.8S ribosomal RNA (bases 201-249)
Source: RNAcentral